This 301-nucleotide ribosomal RNA is filed under the name uncultured bacterium. RNAcentral's name for it is "partial 16S ribosomal RNA". It matches the Rfam family "Bacterial small subunit ribosomal RNA", at positions 509 to 809 of the family's 1533-position model. The record is from RNAcentral.
CAGCCGCCGCGGGAAUACGUAGGUGGCAAGCGUUGUCCGGAAUUAUUGGGCGUAAAGGGCUCGCAGGCGGUUUCUUAAGUCUGAUGUGAAAGCCCCCGGCUCAACCGGGGAGGGUCAUUGGAAACUGGGAAACUUGAGUGCAGAAGAGGAGAGUGGAAUUCCACGUGUAGCGGUGAAAUGCGUAGAGAUGUGGAGGAGCACCAGUGGCGAAGGCGACUCUCUGGUCUGUAACUGACGCUGAGGAGCGAAAGCGUGGGGAGCGAACAGGAUUAGAUACCCGGGUAGUCCCUGUCUCUUAUAA